AACGUAGGAGACAAACGUUAUCCGGAGUUACUGGGCGUAAAGCGCACGUAGGCGGACUGGAAAGUUGGGGGUGAAAGCCCAGGGCUCAACCCUGGAACUGCCUUCAAAACUCCCAGUCUUGAGGUCGAGAGAGGUGAGUGGAAUUCCGAGUGUAGAGGUGAAAUUCGUAGAUAUUCGGAGGAACACCAGUGGCGAAGGCGGCUCACUGGCUCGAUACUGACGCUGAGGUGCGAAAGCGUGGGGAGCAAACAGG
RNAcentral lists this ribosomal RNA (253 nucleotides) under uncultured bacterium. RNAcentral describes it as "partial 16S ribosomal RNA". It matches the Rfam family "Bacterial small subunit ribosomal RNA", at positions 524 to 776 of the family's 1533-position model. The record is from RNAcentral.